RNAcentral lists this ribosomal RNA (99 nucleotides) under uncultured bacterium. Its description in RNAcentral is "partial 16S ribosomal RNA". It matches the Rfam family "Bacterial small subunit ribosomal RNA", at positions 1384 to 1482 of the family's 1533-position model. The record is from RNAcentral.
UACACACCGCCCGUCACACCAUGGGAGUUGAUUGCACCAGAAGUAGUUAGCCUAACCGCAAGGGGGGCGAUUACCACGGUGUGGUCAAUGACUGGGGUG